Non-coding RNA from Cyprinus carpio (common carp), 579 nucleotides. The record is from the annotation of a RefSeq genome assembly. Lineage: Eukaryota; Metazoa; Chordata; Actinopteri; Cypriniformes; Cyprinidae.
AAAAUAUACUGCAGCCAGCAUUUGCUGAAACACAAUACAUAAGACACAUAAAGAAACCAACUGAAACAGAAAUGAACAAGGAUAGAAAGGCAGCUGGUCUUAUCUUCAUUAUUAUCUCUCUUCUUCUGCUCUGCAUUGCUUCAGGUGAGAAGGACCAAAUGAACCAGAUGUUUAGCAGAGGACUUCGACUUAUUGUGGAAGUUCCUCACGGCCGUGUUGACCACAUGGUGACUCCAAAGGUGCAUGUUCUUCUCCCUACCGGUGUUCAGAAGCAGCGUGCAGAGAGAGUGACGCUCGCCUGUGUCAUCAACGGGCUACCGUCUAAAGCAGUGAGGAUCACAUGGAAGGUCAACGGAGCAACAGGUCUCAAAAAACACAGCAGCCCUCCACAAGUGCACCGAGAGCCUGGAGGCACAUUCUCUGCCGUGGGCCUGUACUCGGUGCUCACUCAUAAAUGGAAUCAUGGGAAUACGUACAGGUGUGAGGUGACUUACAAAGCGGCGUUUUACUACGAUAAAGCAGAGUCGUCUCUCUGUGUUCCUCCUGAGGGACUGUAACUUUGUCCUGUGUUAGAGAUUC